UGGCUGGGUCAUCAAAAGUUAUUUCUUGUUUCUACAGACGGUAACGCAGAAGGAAGGAAUUCUCACCUGACCCGGUUCUGAGCAAAGAAAACAAAAACUCCAGGAACAUCUGCUGAGAAGAAAAACACUUUUUGCAUACAAGCAGGAAAAUGAGAUGUUAUCCAGCACAUUCCAAUUUGGAAGAUCCACAUUUCAAGCACUCGUAACAACUCAAUAAUCACAUUUGGCUAGUGGCUACUUUACUGGAUGGUGCAACAUUAGAGCCUCGUUUUCUGCAUAAAUUAAUUCACAAUCUAAGCAAA
Molecule: long non-coding RNA, 302 nt
Filed under: Callithrix jacchus (white-tufted-ear marmoset)
Lineage: Eukaryota; Metazoa; Chordata; Mammalia; Primates; Cebidae
Description: lncRNA (ENSCJAG00000083154.1)
Source: RNAcentral